AUGUGGCAGGAGAUGUCUUCCUCAAUGCCUGCCUCCAGUUCUUCCAGCAGGAACCGCCAGAGCACCCAGGAAAGGGUGUUGGCACAAACAACCCUUGAUGCUCAACUCAAUGCUGAGUUUGAAGAAUCUAGUGACUCCUUCGACUACUCCAAGCUGGUCGAAGCCCAGCGGGACACUCCAACCGUGCUGCAGGAAGGGCGGUCGGAGAAGGUCAUAGCCUACUUGCAGCACAUUCAGAGAGGGAAGAUGAUCCAGUCGUUUGGUUGCUUGUUGGCCCUUGAUGAGAAGAGCUUCAAUGUCAUUGCAUUCAGUGAGAACGCGCCAGAAAUGCUUACAACUGUCAGCCAUGCAGUGCCCAGUGUCGACGAUCCCCCGAGGCUCGACAUCGGCACCAAUGUACGGUCUCUGUUCACUGACCAAGGUGCCACGGCUCUGCACAAGGCGCUAGGGUUUGCUGAUGUUUCUUUGCUGAACCCUAUCCUGGUUCAGUGCAAGUCCUCAGGCAAGCCUUUCUAUGCCAUUGUUCACCGAGCAACCGGUUGUUUGGUGGUAGACUUUGAGCCUGUGAACCCCACAGAAUUUCCUGCCACUGCUGCUGGGGCCUUGCAGUCUUACAAGCUUGCUGCCAAGGCAAUCUCCAAGAUCCAGGCACUGCCAGGUGGAAGCAUGGAGCUGCUAUGCAAUACUGUGGUCAAGGAGGUCUUUGAACUUACAGGGUAUGAUAGGGUUAUGGCUUACAAGUUCCAUGAAGAUAAUCAUGGCGAGGUCUUUGCCGAGAUCACAAAGCCUGGCCUUGAGCCUUAUCUGGGCCUGCACUAUCCGGCCACUGAUAUCCCUCAAGCAGCCAGGUUUCUUUUCAUGAAGAACAAAGUGCGGAUGAUUUGUGAUGUCCGCGCAAGAUCCAUAAAGGUCAUCGAAGAUGAGGCACUCCCCUUUGAUAUUAGCUUGUGUGGUUCAGCACUCAGGGCGGCACACAGCUGUCACCUUCAGUAUAUGGAGAACAUGAACUCGAUUGCGUCCCUUGUCAUGGCUGUUGUGGUUAAUGAGAAUGAAGAGGAUGAUGAGGUCGGAUCUGAACAACCAGCACAGCAGCAGAAGAAGAAGAUACUGUGGGGCCUUGUUGUUUGCCACCAUGAGAGCCCCAGAUAUGUCCCUUUUCCGCUGCGCUAUGCUUGUGAGUUCUUAGCACAGGUGUUUGCUGUCCAUGUCAACAAGGAGUUUGAAGUACAGAAACAGUUACGCGAAAAAAGCAUCCUGAGGAUGCAAACAAUUCUCUCUGACAUGCUGUUCAAGGAAGCCUCUCCCCUGACUAUCGUAUCAGGGGCACCCAAUAUCAUGGACCUAAUCAAAUGUGAUGGUGCUGCUCUUUUGUAUGGGGGCAAAGUGUGGCGUCUGGGUAAUGCUCCAACCGAGUCACAGAUACGCGAUCUUGCCUUGUGGUUGUCGGAAGUUCACAUGGACUCCACUGGCCUGAGUACUGAGAGCCUCCAUGAUGCUGGCUACCCAGGAGCCUCUGCUCUUGGUGAUAUGGUUUGUGGGAUGGCAGUGGCUAAGAUCAAUUCCAAUGAUAUUCUUUUUUGGUUCAGGUCACAUACAGCUAAAGAAAUCAGAUGGGGAGGUGCAAAGAAUGAUCCAUCGGACCAGGAUGACAGCAGAAGGAUGCACCCUAGGUUGUCUUUCAAGGCAUUCCUUGAAGUUGUCAAGAUGAAGAGCUUGGCUUGGACUGAUUCUGAGAUGGAUGCUAUUCAUUCAUUGCAACUUAUACUUCGAGGGACAGUGGAUGGUGUCGUCAAGCCAACCGGAAAAGCUAGCUUAGAUGAACAGAUUGGUGAUCUAAAGCUUGAUGGGCUUGCUGAAUUGCAGGCAGUGACCAGUGAAAUGGUUCGUCUAAUGGAAACAGCAACUGUUCCAAUCUUGGCGGUAGAUGGCAAUGGAUUGGUCAACGGGUGGAACCAGAAAGCGGCAGAAUUGACUGGGCUAAGGGUUGAUGAUGCCAUAGGAAGGCACAUACUUACCCUUGUGGAGGAAUCUUCUGUAUCAGUUGUCCAGAGGAUGCUAUAUCUAGCUUUGCAGGGCAAAGAAGAGAAAGAAGUUCGAUUUGAGGUAAAGACUCAUGGCCCAAAGAGAGAUGAUGGCCCUGUUAUCUUGGUUGUGAAUGCUUGUGCCAGCCGGGACCUUCAUGAUGAUGUUGUUGGGGUGUGCUUUGUAGCCCAAGAUAUGACUGUCCAUAAGUUGGUGAUGGACAAGUUUACUCGGGUUGAGGGAGACUACAAGGCGAUCAUUCACAACCCGAACCCACUUAUUCCUCCUAUAUUUGGUGCUGAUGAAUUUGGAUGGUGUUGUGAGUGGAAUGCUGCAAUGACCAAGCUGACUGGGUGGCACAAAGAAGAAGUGCUCGAUAAGAUGCUUCUCGGUGAAGUGUUCGACAGUAGAAAUGCUUCCUGCCUUUUGAAGAACAAAGAUGCAUUUGUAAGCCUUUGUGCUGUUAUCAACAGCGCGUUAGCCGGCAAAGAAACGGAAAAGGCUCCAUUUGGCUUCUUCGACCGAAGCGGGAAGUACACUGAGUGCCUUCUGUCAGUGAACAGAAGGCAAAAUGAGGAUGGUCUCAUCACUGGAGUAUUCUGUUUUAUUCAUAUUCCUAGUCAUGAGCUGCAACAAGCACUGCAGGUGCAGCAAGCCUCCGAGCAGGCGUCACUAAAAAGGCUGAAAGCUUUCUCCUACAUGAGACAUGCAAUCAACAACCCUCUCUCAGGCAUGCUUUACUCCAGAAAAGCACUAAAGAACACAGAUUUGAAUGAAGAACAGAUGAGGCAGAUCCAUGUCUCAGAUAAUUGUCACCACCAGCUAAACAAGAUACUUGCCGACUUGGAUCAAGAUAGCAUCAUGGAAAAAUCUAGUUGCUUGGAUUUGGAGAUGGCUGAAUUUGUGUUGCAAGAUGUGGUGGUGGCUGCUGUAAGCCAAGUACUGAUAGCCUGCGAGGGAAAAGGCAUCAGAGUCUCUUGCAACCUGCCAGAGAGAUUUAUGAAGAAACUGAUCUAUGGAGAUGGUGUUCGACUCCAGCAGAUCCUUUCUGACUUCCUAUCUAUUUCUGUGAAGUUCUCUCCUGUUGGAGGUUCCAUCGAGAUCUCAGCCAAGGCGACGAAGAACAGCAUCGGAGAGAAUCUUCACCUUAUUGACCUUGACCUUAGGAUCAAGCACCAUGGGUUAGGAGUCCCGGCAGAGCUAAUGGCGCAAAUGUUUGAGGAGGACGACAUGCAGCAGUCAGAGGAGGGCUUGGGCCUCCUGGUCUCUAGAAACCUGUUGAGGCUCAUGAACGGCGAUGUUCGUCACCUAAGGGAAGCUGGUAUGUCAAUCUUCAUCCUCACCGCCGAACUUGCUUGUGGUCCAACGGCAAUGGAGCACUGA
RNAcentral lists this ribosomal RNA (3405 nucleotides) under Triticum aestivum (bread wheat). Its description in RNAcentral is "partial small subunit ribosomal RNA". Lineage: Eukaryota; Viridiplantae; Streptophyta; Magnoliopsida; Poales; Poaceae. The record is from RNAcentral.